Molecule: ribosomal RNA, 480 nt
Filed under: Tripteroides aranoides
Lineage: Eukaryota; Metazoa; Arthropoda; Insecta; Diptera; Culicidae
Description: eukaryotic LSU rRNA
Rfam family: Eukaryotic large subunit ribosomal RNA
Source: RNAcentral
GAGUUCAAGCGGGAGUACUCCUUCUAAGCUAAAUAUCACCACGAGACCGAUAGCGAACAAGUACCGUGAGGGAAAGUUGAAAAGCACUCUGAAUAGAGAGUCAAAAAGUACGUGAAACUGCCUAGGGCUCAAGCCCGUUGAACUCGAUUAUCCGAACGGAGAUAUUCACCUGUGGUUGGGCCCCGCGGUUCCGCCACAGGGCACUUAUCUCCGGUUUUCACGAGGACAUUGCGAUCCAUUACGAAACGCUUGUGCCGCUUGCGGCGCAAAAUCGCCCGACAAUUGUCCCUGUCGGUUGCUUGUCCCACAGUAGCGUGCAUUCAGUUCUGAAGGCCUAUGCCGCGAGCCGGGACUUACCGUACGUGGUGUACAGUCGGGCGCGUGAUGGAUUCACCCCAUGACACCGUCUUCCGUAUGCCUCCCGCAUACCCGCUCAGUCUGGGCCGGCGGAUUGUCGAUCGGCAAUGAUAAAAUCGAGGU